Molecule: ribosomal RNA, 495 nt
Filed under: uncultured bacterium
Lineage: Bacteria
Description: partial 16S ribosomal RNA
Rfam family: Bacterial small subunit ribosomal RNA
Source: RNAcentral
GACGAACGCUGGCGGCGUGCCUAAUACAUGCAAGUAGAACGCUGAAGGAGGAGCUUGCUUCUCUGGAUGAGUUGCGAACGGGUGAGUAACGCGUAGGUAACCUGCCUGGUAGCGGGGGAUAACUAUUGGAAACGAUAGCUAAUACCGCAUAAUAGUAGAUGUUGCAUGACAUUUGCUUAAAAGGUGCAAUUGCAUCACUACCAGAUGGACCUGCGUUGUAUUAGCUAGUUGGUGAGGUAACGGCUCACCAAGGCGACGAUACAUAGCCGACCUGAGAGGGUGAUCGGCCACACUGGGACUGAGACACGGCCCAGACUCCUACGGGAGGCAGCAGUAGGGAAUCUUCGGCAAUGGACGGAAGUCUGACCGAGCAACGCCGCGUGAGUGAAGAAGGUUUUCGGAUCGUAAAGCUCUGCUGUAAGAGAAGAACGAGUGUGAGAGUGGAAAGUUCACACUGUGACGGUAUCUUACCAGAAAGGGACGGCUAACUACGUG